UACGGAGGGUGCGAGCGUUAAUCGGAAUUACUGGGCGUAAAGCGCGCGUAGGCGGUUUUUUAAGUCGGAUGUGAAAGCCCCGGGCUCAACCUGGGAACUGCAUCCGAUACUGGAAGACUAGAAUGCGGGAGAGGGAGGUAGAAUUCCAUGUGUAGCAGUGAAAUGCGUAGAUAUAUGGAGGAAUACCAGUGGCGAAGGCGGCCUCCUGGCUCGACAUUGACGCUGAGGUGCGAAAGCGUGGGGAGCAAACGGC
This 253-nucleotide ribosomal RNA is filed under the name uncultured bacterium. RNAcentral describes it as "partial 16S ribosomal RNA". It matches the Rfam family "Bacterial small subunit ribosomal RNA", at positions 524 to 776 of the family's 1533-position model. The record is from RNAcentral.